UGGGGAAUAUUGGACAAUGGGGGGAACCCUGAUCCAGCCAUGCCGCGUGUGUGAAGAAGGCCUUAUGUUUGUAAAGCACUUUAAGCGAGGAGGAGGGUACUGGUAUUAAUACUACCAGGUACUGGACGUUACUCGCAGAAUAAGCACCGGCUAACUCUGUGCCAGCAGCCGCGGUAAUACAGAGGGUGCGAGCGUUAAUCGGAUUUACUGGGCGUAAAGCGUGCGUAGGCGGCUAAUUGAGUCGGAUGUGAAAUCCCCGUGCUUAACUUGGGAAUUGCAUUCGAUACUGGUUAGCUAGAGUGUGGGAGAGGAUGGUAGAAUUUCAGGUGUAGCGAUGAAAUGCGUAGAGAUCUGGAGGAAUACCGAUGGCGAAGGCAGCCAUCUGGCCUAACACUGACGCUGAGGUACGAAAGCAUGGGGAGCAAACAGG
RNAcentral lists this ribosomal RNA (430 nucleotides) under Pseudomonadota bacterium. RNAcentral describes it as "Proteobacteria bacterium partial 16S ribosomal RNA". It matches the Rfam family "Bacterial small subunit ribosomal RNA", at positions 355 to 776 of the family's 1533-position model. Lineage: Bacteria; Pseudomonadati; Pseudomonadota. The record is from RNAcentral.